UACGGAGGAUGCAAGCGUUAUCCGGAAUGAUUGGGCGUAAAGCGUCCGCAGGUGGCAGUUCAAGUCUGCUGUUAAAUACUAGGGCUUAACCCUGGAGCGGCAGUGGAAACUGAACAGCUAGAGUGCGGUAGAGGUAGAUGGAAUUCCCAGUGUAGCGGUGAAAUGCGUAGAGAUUGGGAAGAACACCGGUGGCGAAAGCGCUCUUCUGGGCCGAAACUGACGCUCAUGGACGAAAGCCAGGGGAGCGAAUGGG
RNAcentral lists this ribosomal RNA (253 nucleotides) under uncultured bacterium. Its description in RNAcentral is "partial 16S ribosomal RNA". It matches the Rfam family "Bacterial small subunit ribosomal RNA", at positions 524 to 776 of the family's 1533-position model. The record is from RNAcentral.